CAGCACUUUACUCCAGUGAGAAGAAACAAGAUGAGACUUAUUAUCCUGUGUGCUCUGCUAGCCACCGUCCUGAUUCAGGAUGUUGAGGGCUUUUGCAUACCUCUUCCUCCUUUUUUAUGUAGACCAGGAAGGGAAGCCGUGGAAGGACCUAAGGCAACUGAGAAAAGAGAAGCUCUGCCCAACCUGAGGGAAAUGGAGGUGAGAGUCUUGAACAAAAGAACAUAAUACACGACUCCUUCUGAAACACGGCUGCAAAGCUAAGGAAAAGCCUGAGUGGUGAACAACUGCGGUUCCCCACUGUUCUGACUUGUUUUCCAAACUUUGUUUUUCUAAUGUCUUUCUCCCUGGAAUAUGAAACCCUAUACCAAUAAAUCUUGCCUUGUGA
Molecule: long non-coding RNA, 385 nt
Organism: Xenopus laevis (African clawed frog)
Lineage: Eukaryota; Metazoa; Chordata; Amphibia; Anura; Pipidae
Exons: 4
Source: RefSeq, a predicted model, not a curated record